Molecule: long non-coding RNA, 981 nt
Organism: Mauremys reevesii (Reeves's turtle)
Lineage: Eukaryota; Metazoa; Chordata; Testudines; Geoemydidae
Exons: 3
Source: RefSeq, a predicted model, not a curated record
GGUGAGGUGGCAGGAGCGGUUGGGACUCUGUAGAGGCAAGGUCACACAGAGGUCAGGUGAAGUGGCAGAAGUGGAUGGAGCCAUGAGGAUUAAGGUCCUAAGGAGAACUGGUCAAAGAGCUGCCCCUCUAGCUCUGUAAGAUACACCACUCAGGACCACAGACGAUUGUAGUGGAGGAUUCCCUAACUGGUGACUGCUGGACUAAGACAUACUGGAUCCAAAAUGGUAUAGGCACUGAAAGCCCCACCUGGCAGCUGAUUCCUCUGAGGCCUGCACCCCUGUUCCUCUGUGGAGUCCACUAACUCCCAAAUGUAUAACCUCUGCCAAGCUCUGAUUGGCUCAGCUCUCAGGCUGUGCCUAUGUAAGACAUGCAAAACGGCUUGCCCAUAAUGCUGAUUUUCUGUACAUCUUCAGAAACAAGUACUGAGCAUGCCCAGUGUCUACCAUACCCUUCUGGAUGUUUCUGGUUCCCUGUAACUGAGUUAUCCUGUGCUGCUCUCUUCAUUUAUACAAAGACACAGAGGGUAUGCAUGGAAGUCCCCUUCCUGACUGGCUUCUCGCCCUUUCUUUGGGUGGGGAAUAGAUGGCUGCAGGAUAAAGCACAUGAGUUACACUAGCAGCAGAGCAAUGGCACCGUAGUCAGAGAAGGCAUGAGAUAAGAUGAUUGGCCAACAUUCCACUCAGCAGAGGGCAGUGGUAGAUGUGGGCUGAUACACCUGCUAAUGGGAUUUUAUAAACACUUCACAGAGCUACUCAUCACACACCAAGGUGGAAAUUACUUCUCCUCCUAGGAAAGCUUUGUAUAACUGAUCAACACCAUAUCACUAUAUAUCAUUACUUACACAAUUACACUGAAAGAAAAAUGUUCAGUCUAUUCUUGGCUAGAAAACUAGGAAGACCCUAGAGAAAGCAUUGCAUUUAUAACCAUGCAUAACACGGUAUGACUUAGACAAAAACAGCGAUGUAGAAGUUAUGUCUUUC